CUUCUUAAAACUUAUCUUUGUACUUUUUGAAGUAGUUUGAAAUAUUUUAAGUAAAAAGCAACACAAAAAAAUAAUAUGAGGGGCUGGGGUUGUGGCUCUGUGGUGGAGCACUUGCCUAGCAUGUGUGAGGCAUUGGGUUCAAUACUCAGCACCACAUAUAAAGAAAUAAAGAUCCAUUGACAACUAAAAAAAAUAUAUUUUUUUUAAAAGAAUAUGCAACACAUGAGACAUCAUUGGGAUUGCUGGGGCUGCAAGGCCACAGAUUUUUUUUUCCUAUUCCUGUUAGGAACUCAGGGGAAGGUUAUAAUGUGGUGGUGAUGGUAUAUUCACUCUGAGGGGCUAUAGGAAAUCCUUGAAACAGAAAAUGGUCAAAACAAAGCCACAGUGAUCAUAGCAUCAGUUGCUCUCUCUGGUAGUACUAGAUCUGGAAAGGAGGUAAGAGACGGUGGAAUAGAAUGAUGCUGUAAGCACAGAAGUGUCUUUUAAAAACAAGUCCAGAAAUAGUACAUAGCUCCACAAUUCAACAGAGACCAAGUAUCGCUGAACUUUACAUCAGAGUUCAAUUCAGAAAAAUCAGGCAUUUUUAGUGAAAGAGAACAAGCACUGCAGGUGCCUAAUAUUCCCUUGUUUGCAAUUUGUGAGGAAUGUUACAUGCAUUGAUUGUGAUGGCAGUUUUCCCUGCUGACAAUCAGUGUGCAACCUUUCUGUACAUUUUCAGCCCAAAGAGUUCUCAAAUUACCCAGUCACAACAUAAAAGGAAGCUAUGCAUUUUAGUAGCUAAGGCCCAUUUGCAAUAAAUACUUUGUGUGAUAUAAUGAGUGCUUAAUAUGUUCAUAAAGCUAACAGUGCCUGGAUUUAGGACGGUUGCCCUUCUAGAUUU
This 880-nucleotide long non-coding RNA is filed under the name Marmota monax (woodchuck). Lineage: Eukaryota; Metazoa; Chordata; Mammalia; Rodentia; Sciuridae. The record is from RNAcentral.